RNAcentral lists this ribosomal RNA (301 nucleotides) under uncultured bacterium. RNAcentral describes it as "partial 16S ribosomal RNA". It matches the Rfam family "Bacterial small subunit ribosomal RNA", at positions 509 to 807 of the family's 1533-position model. The record is from RNAcentral.
CAGUAGCCGCGGUAAUACGGAGGGGGCUAGCGUUGUUCGGAAUUACUGGGCGUAAAGCGCACGUAGGCGGCUUGGUAAGUUAGAGGUGAAAGCCCGGAGCUCAACUCCGGAAUUGCCUUUAAGACUGCCGAGCUAGCAGGUGAGAGAGGUAAGUGGAAUUCCGAGUGUAGAGGUGAAAUUCGUAGAUAUUCGGAAGAACACCAGUGGCGAAGGCGGCUUACUGGCUCAUACUGGACGCUGAGGUGCGAAAGCGUGGGGAGCAAACAGGAUUAGAUACCCGAGUAGUCCCUGUCUCUUAUAC